RNAcentral lists this ribosomal RNA (453 nucleotides) under Triticum aestivum (bread wheat). Its description in RNAcentral is "partial small subunit ribosomal RNA". The record is from RNAcentral. Lineage: Eukaryota; Viridiplantae; Streptophyta; Magnoliopsida; Poales; Poaceae.
AUGGCAGAAUGCUUCAAUAAGGUGCUCAAGGGUGUACGUGCAUUACCCGUGACGACAAUAGUUCAAUACACAUUUGACAAUAUGAACGCGUACUUUUUAAAGUACUCAAUGGAGACGAAUAAGCAGAUUGCUGGUGAGAACAAAGAAAGGCACAAGUACAAUUUCCCACCAAAGGUUGAACAAUGGUUGGAAUUUCAAUCACGGAAGGCGGACUCCCAAGAAGCUGUACUAUAUGACAACAACGAUUGGAUGUUUGAAGUGAAAGAGCCUGGAGGAACCACAAACGAUGGCCACCAACACGGAGGCCGGGCUUUCAAGGUCUCCCUAACACGGUGUGAUUGUACUUGCAUGAGGCCAUCGUUGCUUCAUCUCCCAUGCUCGCACUUGUUGUACGCAUCCCGUGUUAGGAAUGUGGACGUCAAUCACCCUCUUAUCACGAGUUCUCAAUCAUGA